GCUUUUAACACAUUUCUAUUAGCCUCUUUUUUUUUUGUAUAAAAAAAGAUUGCAACUUUUCUCCGCCACACAUCCAUAUAUUAUUCCUCCGUCCAAGGAGAAGCUAAAAUGUGAAAAAUAUUGCUGAGACGGCGACAUGCAUCUCGCGAGCUCCACAAGGACGAUCAUCACCUCAUCACAGACUGCAAAAAGCACAACCAAUGCUGCCUAAUUGACGUGCUUUUGGACUUAAAAGAAUGGGUUCCUGCUUUUUUUUGUUUGUUUUUUUGGUUCUGGUAGGAAAAAACGAGCCCCGUCGUUUUCAUGUCUCCCCUACUACGUAGUUGUAUCAAUUAACUAGAUAAAUCUUUCGAUCGGAUCUGUUCUUGAUGCAUCAACAGCUUGUAAUCACUUUUUAAACACGGUGAUGCGAUGGUAGAUUGAUGUAUCCUCAUCGGUCCAAAACCACGCAUAUGCAUGCACCACGGUCAAAACAAUCUUAACGAGAUUUUGUGCUUUAAUUUGUGGAAAGAAAAGACUGGUUCUCUGAAAUACAGUACGUAAUAAAUCGCGUGUCAAGUUUGGGCUCUCCGAUAGAUCUCCGUCCAUGCAUGGAAUUCAAUUCGAUCCACUAGCCAUUGUCCGCAAUUUAUUGGGUUUUUAAUUUAAUUUGAAUGGUAUGUACGGAUACAAAUUUUAUAGUAUAAGUAAAAAAGAAGAAGGGCUAGUUUCACAUUCUGACCGACCGACCGACCGACAUGCGUGCUCUGUGCUUUUUAGUUUAUUUAUUUAUUUAUUAUUCAUUCAUUCCUCCUUGGAAAGCAAUGUUACAUGCCAUGCAUUAACUUGGUCUCCAGAAUGUAUGGUCCAAAUUUGUUCCACGACUAGGAGACUUUUGUGCAAUGCACAAUGUGCA
RNAcentral lists this long non-coding RNA (895 nucleotides) under Sorghum bicolor (sorghum). RNAcentral describes it as "long non-coding RNA (SBIC_LNC011597)". Lineage: Eukaryota; Viridiplantae; Streptophyta; Magnoliopsida; Poales; Poaceae. The record is from RNAcentral.